UCUGUAGCGUGGCCAGCGCCUUCUUAUACAGUGCCAUUCAAUUUUCAUGUCCCUUCAGUGCUCAGUCUGGUAUUUCUCCCAUUUGUUGAGUCAGUCAGCAUAGAUACUCAGCACUAACAUAUAUCAGUGUGAGCAGCACUGAAAAAAACUGUAAAAAAACGGGUAAAUGUACUGUAGAAUUUGAAGGAAUUUCUCCGUUUUUUAGUUUUACAGGUAUUUGUACCGUAUUUUCCAUUUUACGCAUUGCAUCAUGGGAACAAGAACCUUCGCGAAGCGCAAAAACUGGUCAGACGACAUUUCAAGCUCGCUAACCGGACCCUGGAACAUAUAUCUUUUGGACUUCGGUUGGAUUAAGAGACGGAGUUACCUUUCUGCCACUCCCUGCUGCAUCCAGGCACUCCUGAACUUUUCCUGGAAAGCAACUAGGCAUCUUUAAAAUAGAGAUUUUCUGGGCUCAAAUCCUGAACGAGGUCGACUCACACAAUGCAGACGAAGGUGAAGAAGCAGCUUUGCAUUCCACCAAAAUGGUUCAAGUCCCUUAAUGAACUGAAUGACUGGGAAACCAUGGAAAAUUUGAGCCUUUUGAAGUUUAAACGUGAUUGAUCAUCUCAUCAAACCUGGUGCACCAAGAACCUUUGCGAAGCACAAGAACUGGUCUCAGAACAUUUCAAGCUUUUGGUAACUGGACCUAAGAGUUGGAUUAAUCUUUUUUUCCAGAACAUAAACAUAAAAUGGACUGUUUUGUUUUAUGUUCACAGCGACUAGAGGUAAUGAGAGCACACACUCAUGAAUCCAGUGUCUUCCACUGUCGUUGGCAUUAGGUUGUGUUUAUGUAGCGUUUGAUUUUUAACAAAAUAUGUAUACCUGUAUUUCAUUUAUUUUUUGGCAUUUAUUUUGAAGUAUGUUGGUCCUGUUUACAACAAUGAUUUUCAUGUUCCAAAGCAAUUUUUUGUAUGUUCCAUCUUAUAGUAAUUAACAAAACUGUUUGACUACAAAGACUAGAGUCAAGAUUGCUUUAUAUUUAAUUUAUACGUUGAAAUUUGUAUAGUAAAAUGCAAUAAAUUAGUUGUGAUGUGCAGAAAAUAAACAUUAGCAAGCUCAAGAAUAUGUUUAACUCUUAAUAUAUAAUAGCAAAGGUUAGUUAUAAAGACUAGAUGAUGUCAAUUUAUGGUCUUAAAUUGCAAAAUAAAGUCUGCAAAUUGA
This is a non-coding RNA of Poecilia reticulata (guppy), 1203 nucleotides long. NCBI's taxonomy places the organism in Eukaryota, Metazoa, Chordata, Actinopteri, Cyprinodontiformes, Poeciliidae. The record is from RefSeq and is a predicted model, not a curated record.